UACGUAGGGAGCAAGCGUUGUCCGGAAUCAUUGGGCGUAAAGCGCGCGUAGGUGGCUUCGUAAGUCAGUUGUGAAAGUCAAAGGCUCAACCUUUGAAAGCCGAUGGAUACUGCGGAGCUAGAGUACGGAAGAGGCGAGUGGAAUUCCUGGUGUAGCGGUGGAAUGCGCAGAUAUCAGGAGGAACACCAAUAGCGAAGGCAGCUCGCUGGGACGUUACUGACACUGAGGCGCGAAAGCGUGGGGAGCGAACAGG
Molecule: ribosomal RNA, 253 nt
Filed under: uncultured bacterium
Lineage: Bacteria
Description: partial 16S ribosomal RNA
Rfam family: Bacterial small subunit ribosomal RNA
Source: RNAcentral